This 189-nucleotide transfer-messenger RNA is filed under the name Accumulibacter sp. RNAcentral's name for it is "partial transfer-messenger RNA". It matches the Rfam family "Betaproteobacteria transfer-messenger RNA", at positions 1 to 211 of the family's 331-position model. From Rfam's summary of the family: Bacterial tmRNA, also known as 10Sa RNA or SsrA, is named for its dual tRNA and mRNA-like properties. Its role is to liberate the mRNA from a stalled ribosome. The record is from RNAcentral. Lineage: Bacteria; Pseudomonadati; Pseudomonadota; Betaproteobacteria.
CGAUGUUUCAGUCCUUGAGUUUAUCGACGGUCGCCCCCAUAAUCGUCGACAUGGUCGUAAUUCCGGCAAACCGGAAGCGUUCUGGACGCGGGUUCGAUUCCCGCCACCUCCACCACUGCGGGGGUGUACCGGUUUCGACAGGGUGACAGAUGGCGAGCAGGCGGCCCGAGAGGCGACGGACGUAAUCCG